AACUGACGCUGAGGCACGAAAGCGUGGGUAGCAAACAGGAUUAGAUACCCUGGUAGUCCACGCUGUAAACGAUGAUUACUAGGUGUGGGGGGACUGACCCCUUCCGUGCCGGAGUUAACACAAUAAGUAAUCCACCUGGGGAGUACGGCCGCAAGGUUGAAACUCAAAGGAAUUGACGGGGGCCCGCACAAGCAGUGGAGUAUGUGGUUUAAUUCGAAGCAACGCGAAGAACCUUACCAGGUCUUGACAUCCAACUAACGAGAUAGAGAUAUGUCAGGUGCCCUUCGGGGAAAGUUGAGACAGGUGGUGCAUGGUUGUCGUCAGCUCGUGUCGUGAGAUGUUGGGUUAAGUCCCGCAACGAGCGCAACCCUUGCUAUUAGUUGCUACGCAAGAGCACUCUAAUAGGACUGCCGUUGACAAAACGGAGGAAGGUGGGGACGACGUCAAAUCAUCAUGCCCCUUAUGACCUGGGCUACACACGUACUACAAUGGCCAUCAACAGAGGGAAGCAAAACAGCGAUGUGGAGCAAACCCCUAAAAAUGGUCUCAGUUCAGAUUGCAGGCUGCAACCCGCCUGCAUGAAGUCGGAAUGCUAGUAAUC
RNAcentral lists this ribosomal RNA (601 nucleotides) under uncultured bacterium. RNAcentral's name for it is "bacterial SSU rRNA". It matches the Rfam family "Bacterial small subunit ribosomal RNA", at positions 738 to 1343 of the family's 1533-position model. The record is from RNAcentral.